CCUACGGGAGGCAGCAGUGAGGAAUAUUGGACAAUGGGCGCAAGCCUGAUCCAGCCAUGCCGCGUGCAGGAAGACGGUCCUAUGGAUUGUAAACUGCUUUUAUACAGGAAGAAAUACUUUCUCGUGAGAGAGCUUGACGGUACUGUAAGAAUAAGGAUCGGCUAACUCCGUGCCAGCAGCCGCGGUAAUACGGAGGAUCCAAGCGUUAUCCGGAAUCAUUGGGUUUAAAGGGUCCGUAGGCGGUUUAAUAAGUCAGUGGUGAAAUCUGGUCGCUCAACGAUCAAACGGCCAUUGAUACUGUUAGACUUGAAUUAUUGUGAAGUAACUAGAAUAUGUAGUGUAGCGGUGAAAUGCUUAGAUAUUACAUGGAAUACCAAUUGCGAAGGCAGGUUACUAACAAAUGGAUUGACGCUGAUGGACGAAAGCGUGGGGAGCGAACAGGAUUAGAUACCCUGGUAGUCCACGCCGUAAACGAUGGAUACUAGCUGUUGGGCGCAAGUUCAAGUGGCUAAGCGAAAAGUGAUAAGUAUCCCACCUGGGGAGUACGUUCGCAAGAAUGAAAACUCAAAGGAAUUGACGG
RNAcentral lists this ribosomal RNA (580 nucleotides) under uncultured bacterium. RNAcentral describes it as "bacterial SSU rRNA". It matches the Rfam family "Bacterial small subunit ribosomal RNA", at positions 338 to 916 of the family's 1533-position model. The record is from RNAcentral.